AUAUUGGACAAUGGGGGAAACCCUGAUCCAGCGACGCCGCGUGACUGAAGAAGUAUUUCGGUAUGUAAAGGUCUAUCAGCAGGGAAGAAAAUGACGGUACCUGACUAAGAAGCCCCGGCUAACUACGUGCCAGCAGCCGCGGUAAUACGUAGGGGGCAAGCGUUAUCCGGAUUUACUGGGUGUAAAGGGAGCGUAGACGGCGAAGCAAGUCUGAAGUGAAAGCCCGGGGCUCAACCCCGGAAUUGCUUUGGAAACUGUUUUGCUGGAGUGCAGGAGAGGCUAGCGGAAUUCCUAGUGUAGCGGUGAAAUGCGUAGAUAUUAGGAGGAACACCAGUGGCGAAGGCGGCUUGCUGGACUGUAACUGACGUUGAGGCUCGAAAGCGUGGGGAGCAAACAG
This 397-nucleotide ribosomal RNA is filed under the name uncultured bacterium. RNAcentral's name for it is "bacterial SSU rRNA". It matches the Rfam family "Bacterial small subunit ribosomal RNA", at positions 361 to 775 of the family's 1533-position model. The record is from RNAcentral.